RNAcentral lists this non-coding RNA (225 nucleotides) under Monodelphis domestica (gray short-tailed opossum). Its description in RNAcentral is "Eukaryotic large subunit ribosomal RNA". It matches the Rfam family "Eukaryotic large subunit ribosomal RNA", at positions 2129 to 2336 of the family's 3401-position model. Lineage: Eukaryota; Metazoa; Chordata; Mammalia; Didelphimorphia; Didelphidae. The record is from Rfam by way of RNAcentral.
GGAUAUAGUUUACCCAAUUCUUAGUAAAGUAUUUGAUAAACUAUCUUACACAAAAGCCUACUGUGGGUGAUGACACAAUAUGAUUUCUUCCCAAUGCUUUAAAGGUCAAAGUGAAGAAAUUCAAUGGAGCAUGAGUAAAUGGCAGGAAUAACUAUUACUCUCUUAAGGUAGCCAAAUGCCUCAUCAUCUAAUUAGUGAUAUGCAUGAUUGGAUGAACAAGUUUUC